This 497-nucleotide ribosomal RNA is filed under the name Fusarium oxysporum f. sp. lycopersici. RNAcentral describes it as "eukaryotic LSU rRNA". The stretch from base 128 to 281 matches the Rfam family "5.8S ribosomal RNA". The record is from RNAcentral. Lineage: Eukaryota; Fungi; Ascomycota; Sordariomycetes; Hypocreales; Nectriaceae.
CUGUGACAUACCUAUAACGUUGCCUCGGCGGGAACAGACGGCCCCGUAACACGGGCCGCCCCCGCCAGAGGACCCCCUAACUCUGUUUCUAUAAUGUUUCUUCUGAGUAAACAAGCAAAUAAAUUAAAACUUUCAACAACGGAUCUCUUGGCUCUGGCAUCGAUGAAGAACGCAGCGAAAUGCGAUAAGUAAUGUGAAUUGCAGAAUUCAGUGAAUCAUCGAAUCUUUGAACGCACAUUGCGCCCGCCAGUAUUCUGGCGGGCAUGCCUGUUCGAGCGUCAUUACAACCCUCAGGCCCCCGGGCCUGGCGUUGGGGAUCGGCGGAAGCCCCCUGCGGGCACAACGCCGUCCCCCAAAUACAGUGGCGGUCCCGCCGCAGCUUCCAUUGCGUAGUAGCUAACACCUCGCAACUGGAGAGCGGCGCGGCCACGCCGUAAAACACCCAACUUCUGAAUGUUGACCUCGAAUCAGGUAGGAAUACCCGCUGAACUUAAGCA